This 88-nucleotide transfer RNA is filed under the name Hypoxylon sp. FL0543. RNAcentral describes it as "tRNA-Ala". It matches the Rfam family "tRNA". From Rfam's summary of the family: Transfer RNA (tRNA) molecules are approximately 80 nucleotides in length. Their secondary structure includes four short double-helical elements and three loops (D, anti-codon, and T loops). Lineage: Eukaryota; Fungi; Ascomycota; Sordariomycetes; Xylariales; Hypoxylaceae. The record is from RNAcentral.
GGGCGUGUAACUCAGUGGUAGAGUGCUCGCUUUGCAUCUUCUGGUGUGAAACUGCGAGAAGCCCAGGGUUCGACUCCCUGCUCGUCCA